ACUUAAGAAAAUAAGUGCAAGCGGUGGAUGCCUUGGCAUUCAGAGGCGAUGAAGGACGUGAUAAUCUGCGAUAAGCUUCGGUUAGCUGGUAAAUAAGCUUUGAUCCGGAGAUUUCCGAAUGGGGGAACCCACCUAGCAUCAGUUAGGUACUCACUCGAUAUAGAGUGUAGAGCGAACGAGGGGAACUGAAACAUCUAAGUACCCUUAGGAAAAGAAAUCAAUUGAGAUUCCCAUAGUAGCGGCGAGCGAAGUGGGAAGAGCCUGGUAUGAUUUAGCAUGAUAUAUAGUAGAACAAGUUGGGAAGCUUGACGAUAGAGGGUGAUAGUCCCGUAUACGAAAUAUACCAUGUGGAACUAAGCAUACGAACAAGUAGGACGGGGCACGUGGAACCUUGUCUGAAUAUGGGGGGACCAUCCUCCAAGGCUAAAUACUA
RNAcentral lists this ribosomal RNA (433 nucleotides) under Candidatus Francisella endociliophora. RNAcentral describes it as "bacterial LSU rRNA". It matches the Rfam family "Bacterial large subunit ribosomal RNA", at positions 1 to 475 of the family's 2925-position model. Lineage: Bacteria; Pseudomonadati; Pseudomonadota; Gammaproteobacteria; Thiotrichales; Francisellaceae. The record is from RNAcentral.